UACAGAGGUCUCAAGCGUUGUUCGGAUUCAUUGGGCGUAAAGGGUGCGUAGGUGGCGCUGUAAGUCAGGUGUGAAAUUUCGGAGCUCAACUCCGAAACUGCAUUUGAUACUGCGGUGCUUGAGGACUGGAGAGGAGAUUGGAAUUCACGGUGUAGCAGUGAAAUGCGUAGAUAUCGUGAGGAAGACCAGUGGCGAAGGCGGAUCUCUGGACAGUUCCUGACACUGAGGCACGAAGGCCAGGGGAGCAAACGGG
RNAcentral lists this ribosomal RNA (253 nucleotides) under uncultured bacterium. RNAcentral describes it as "partial 16S ribosomal RNA". It matches the Rfam family "Bacterial small subunit ribosomal RNA", at positions 524 to 776 of the family's 1533-position model. The record is from RNAcentral.